RNAcentral lists this ribosomal RNA (253 nucleotides) under uncultured bacterium. RNAcentral's name for it is "partial 16S ribosomal RNA". It matches the Rfam family "Bacterial small subunit ribosomal RNA", at positions 524 to 776 of the family's 1533-position model. The record is from RNAcentral.
UACGUAGGCCGCGAGCGUUGUUCGGAGUUACUGGGCGUAAAGCGUGCGUAGGCGGUGGUCCAAGUCUGGUGUGAAAUCUCCCGGCUCAACUGGGAGGGUGCGCCGGAAACUGGGCCGCUGGAGUAUGGGAGAGGCAAGCGGAAUUCCAGGUGUAGCGGUGAAAUGCGUAGAUAUCUGGAGGAACACCCGUGGUGCAGACGGCUUGCUGGAGCAUGACUGACGCUGAGGCACGAAAGCGUGGGUAGCAAACAGG